RNAcentral lists this ribosomal RNA (2929 nucleotides) under Escherichia coli. RNAcentral's name for it is "23S ribosomal RNA". It matches the Rfam family "Bacterial large subunit ribosomal RNA". Lineage: Bacteria; Pseudomonadati; Pseudomonadota; Gammaproteobacteria; Enterobacterales; Enterobacteriaceae. The record is from RNAcentral.
GGGUUGUGAGGUUAAGCGACUAAGCGUACACGGUGGAUGCCCUGGCAGUCAGAGGCGAUGAAGGACGUGCUAAUCUGCGAUAAGCGUCGGUAAGGUGAUAUGAACCGUUAUAACCGGCGAUUUCCGAAUGGGGAAACCCAGUGUGAUUCGUCACACUAUCAUUAACUGAAUCCAUAGGUUAAUGAGGCGAACCGGGGGAACUGAAACAUCUAAGUACCCCGAGGAAAAGAAAUCAACCGAGAUUCCCCCAGUAGCGGCGAGCGAACGGGGAGCAGCCCAGAGCCUGAAUCAGUGUGUGUGUUAGUGGAAGCGUCUGGAAAGGCGCGCGAUACAGGGUGACAGCCCCGUACACAAAAAUGCACAUAUUGUGAGCUCGAUGAGUAGGGCGGGACACGUGGUAUCCUGUCUGAAUAUGGGGGGACCAUCCUCCAAGGCUAAAUACUCCUGACUGACCGAUAGUGAACCAGUACCGUGAGGGAAAGGCGAAAAGAACCCCGGCGAGGGGAGUGAAAAAGAACCUGAAACCGUGUACGUACAAGCAGUGGGAGCCUCUUUUAUGGGGUGACUGCGUACCUUUUGUAUAAUGGGUCAGCGACUUAUAUUCUGUAGCAAGGUUAACCGAAUAGGGGAGCCGAAGGGAAACCGAGUCUUAACUGGGCGUUAAGUUGCAGGGUAUAGACCCGAAACCCGGUGAUCUAGCCAUGGGCAGGUUGAAGGUUGGGUAACACUAACUGGAGGACCGAACCGACUAAUGUUGAAAAAUUAGCGGAUGACUUGUGGCUGGGGGUGAAAGGCCAAUCAAACCGGGAGAUAGCUGGUUCUCCCCGAAAGCUAUUUAGGUAGCGCCUCGUGAAUUCAUCUCCGGGGGUAGAGCACUGUUUCGGCAAGGGGGUCAUCCCGACUUACCAACCCGAUGCAAACUGCGAAUACCGGAGAAUGUUAUCACGGGAGACACACGGCGGGUGCUAACGUCCGUCGUGAAGAGGGAAACAACCCAGACCGCCAGCUAAGGUCCCAAAGUCAUGGUUAAGUGGGAAACGAUGUGGGAAGGCCCAGACAGCCAGGAUGUUGGCUUAGAAGCAGCCAUCAUUUAAAGAAAGCGUAAUAGCUCACUGGUCGAGUCGGCCUGCGCGGAAGAUGUAACGGGGCUAAACCAUGCACCGAAGCUGCGGCAGCGACACUAUGUGUUGUUGGGUAGGGGAGCGUUCUGUAAGCCUGUGAAGGUGUACUGUGAGGUAUGCUGGAGGUAUCAGAAGUGCGAAUGCUGACAUAAGUAACGAUAAAGCGGGUGAAAAGCCCGCUCGCCGGAAGACCAAGGGUUCCUGUCCAACGUUAAUCGGGGCAGGGUGAGUCGACCCCUAAGGCGAGGCCGAAAGGCGUAGUCGAUGGGAAACAGGUUAAUAUUCCUGUACUUGGUGUUACUGCGAAGGGGGGACGGAGAAGGCUAUGUUGGCCGGGCGACGGUUGUCCCGGUUUAAGCGUGUAGGCUGGUUUUCCAGGCAAAUCCGGAAAAUCAAGGCUGAGGCGUGAUGACGAGGCACUACGGUGCUGAAGCAACAAAUGCCCUGCUUCCAGGAAAAGCCUCUAAGCAUCAGGUAACAUCAAAUCGUACCCCAAACCGACACAGGUGGUCAGGUAGAGAAUACCAAGGCGCUUGAGAGAACUCGGGUGAAGGAACUAGGCAAAAUGGUGCCGUAACUUCGGGAGAAGGCACGCUGAUAUGUAGGUGAAGUCCCUCGCGGAUGGAGCUGAAAUCAGUCGAAGAUACCAGCUGGCUGCAACUGUUUAUUAAAAACACAGCACUGUGCAAACACGAAAGUGGACGUAUACGGUGUGACGCCUGCCCGGUGCCGGAAGGUUAAUUGAUGGGGUCAGCGCAAGCGAAGCUCUUGAUCGAAGCCCCGGUAAACGGCGGCCGUAACUAUAACGGUCCUAAGGUAGCGAAAUUCCUUGUCGGGUAAGUUCCGACCUGCACGAAUGGCGUAAUGAUGGCCAGGCUGUCUCCACCCGAGACUCAGUGAAAUUGAACUCGCUGUGAAGAUGCAGUGUACCCGCGGCAAGACGGAAAGACCCCGUGAACCUUUACUAUAGCUUGACACUGAACAUUGAGCCUUGAUGUGUAGGAUAGGUGGGAGGCUUAGAAGUGUGGACGCCAGUCUGCAUGGAGCCGACCUUGAAAUACCACCCUUUAAUGUUUGAUGUUCUAACGUUGACCCGUGAUCCGGGUUGCGGACAGUGUCUGGUGGGUAGUUUGACUGGGGCGGUCUCCUCCUAAAGAGUAACGGAGGAGCACGAAGGUUGGCUAAUCCUGGUCGGACAUCAGGAGGUUAGUGCAAUGGCAUAAGCCAGCUUGACUGCGAGCGUGACGGCGCGAGCAGGUGCGAAAGCAGGUCAUAGUGAUCCGGUGGUUCUGAAUGGAAGGGCCAUCGCUCAACGGAUAAAAGGUACUCCGGGGAUAACAGGCUGAUACCGCCCAAGAGUUCAUAUCGACGGCGGUGUUUGGCACCUCGAUGUCGGCUCAUCACAUCCUGGGGCUGAAGUAGGUCCCAAGGGUAUGGCUGUUCGCCAUUUAAAGUGGUACGCGAGCUGGGUUUAGAACGUCGUGAGACAGUUCGGUCCCUAUCUGCCGUGGGCGCUGGAGAACUGAGGGGGGCUGCUCCUAGUACGAGAGGACCGGAGUGGACGCAUCACUGGUGUUCGGGUUGUCAUGCCAAUGGCACUGCCCGGUAGCUAAAUGCGGAAGAGAUAAGUGCUGAAAGCAUCUAAGCACGAAACUUGCCCCGAGAUGAGUUCUCCCUGACUCCUUGAGAGUCCUGAAGGAACGUUGAAGACGACGACGUUGAUAGGCCGGGUGUGUAAGCGCAGCGAUGCGUUGAGCUAACCGGUACUAAUGAACCGUGAGGCUUAACCUUACAACGCCGAAGCUGUU